This is a long non-coding RNA of Salvia splendens (bonfire salvia), 986 nucleotides long. RefSeq lists it as uncharacterized. The record is from RefSeq and is a predicted model, not a curated record. NCBI's taxonomy places the organism in Eukaryota, Viridiplantae, Streptophyta, Magnoliopsida, Lamiales, Lamiaceae. The transcript has 2 exons.
ACAAGCUAGCAUAUGCAUCACCAAAACUAUCGAUCCGGCGGCGUAACCCUAAGCCCUUUUCCCCGCCCACCCCGGACCAAUCAAAGCUCCAUAUCUCCUCGCCUUUAGAAACUGCCGCGACUAAAUCGGGUGCUCCAUCUCGGCUUCUACCAAAUGCAAACCCCCCUCCAGGAAACUAAUUUUUCUAAACAGGAUUUUAAGGAGUGGGACGUGUGUGAGGAGGAGAUUGAGAUGUAAUCCUGUUUCGCAGCUGCCAAGGCGAGAUGCGAUUGUGGAUUGGAAUCAUGUUUCUAGGUUGAUUUCGACGGUAUGUUUUGCGGAUGAAAAUAGUUACGGGUUGGAUUUUGGGGCAUGAAUUUAGGCGAGGUUACUAAGGAUUUAUUGGUUCCAAUUAUGAGAAGCAUUUGAUAUAGACUUUAGUGUCAGUUUUUGUGGCUCUGAUGCGCACUUCUCGGGUUUGUAAGAGUUGAGAUUUUCUGGAGCGUCAGGGUUGGUGCAACUCUAACUGGCUUUAGAGUGACAUAUGGACAGUUUAUUGGGAUUUGGGAGAUACAUGAAGUGGCCAGUACAUAACCUUCAACACAAAGUCAUAUUUUAGUGAAACAAUAACAUUAUUUGUAUAGCUGGGAUUUCUGUUGAUUCUUUUUCAUGCAAGUCUCACAUUUAUCACUACUAUUGGUGAUGACGAAUUUAAUGUUUGAAGUGGAGUUCAAGCCCUGCAGAUCUGGUACUCUAUAGGCUUGUAUUUAGGUGCAUCUUAAUUCAGCUCUACAUAAGUCAAGAUAAGAUGCAUUAUAGUUUAUAGAAAACACUUGUGGAGCCAUCAGUAUGUCAGCUUCAGUUUAGCUUUCGGUUUAAAACAAGUAUUUAUCAUUUUGACUUUUUUUUUCCUUGCAUCAGAAAACCUAAUUAUGUAUUGUUUAUCAUUUCUUCAGCAUGAUGGUUACUUUUUGGCAGAAAUGUUAUUAUAUUUUGUUGUUUUGUAA